This is a non-coding RNA of Pelobates cultripes (western spadefoot toad), 304 nucleotides long. The record is from the annotation of a GenBank genome assembly. Lineage: Eukaryota; Metazoa; Chordata; Amphibia; Anura; Pelobatidae.
AUGUUAUUUAAUAUUUUCUGAAUACACUACAUCAGGGGUAGGCAACAUUUUAGUAGUACUGUGCCAAAACAAAAUCCUUUGAAAUCCUUUGGCGUGCCAGCCCAAUUUAUUAAAAUUAAGGUGUGUAUUUUGCCGUAUUCUGCUUAUGUUAUUUAUGGGUGCUGCAGUUGCUCUGUAGGCGGUUAUAUUGUAUAUGUUCAUAAGUAGUUUGUCGUAUUGUGUAUGAUACCUAUGAAUGUGGGCUGUAUAAGGCAGCUGCUUGUGGAAUUGUGUGUUUGGUGGAGUGUAUGUGUUUGUGUGUGGG